This is a long non-coding RNA of Austrofundulus limnaeus, 1035 nucleotides long. RefSeq lists it as uncharacterized. The transcript has 2 exons. NCBI's taxonomy places the organism in Eukaryota, Metazoa, Chordata, Actinopteri, Cyprinodontiformes, Rivulidae. The record is from RefSeq and is a predicted model, not a curated record.
CACCUUUUAGCUACAAUUAUAAAACACAAGUUUGAUAAAUAAAGAAGAAUUUUCUAAACUAAAAUAAGAAACUUUUGAAUCAGCUCACUGGAUUCAUCCCUGCUGUGACUUUUUAUUAACAAACUAAACUCAUCGGUUCACUGUAGAAUUGAGUUUUUCCAAUAAUAAAUCAAUAAAUAGUGUUAUUUAUUGAUUGGUCAACAAGCAGCUGGUUAGUGAUUAGUUCUUUAAUAUGAAUAAAAAAUAAAAUCUGAUCCAGUCUGGAUUUGGUUAUUGGGCUUCAUGAUUAUAUAAUUUCAAAAUAAAAGCACGUGAAGCACAAACAGAACUCUGAAACAUUCAGAGCGUCUGUAAAAAUGUUCUGUAGAUCCAGGUGAAACAGAACCGAGUCAGCCGGACCCAGCCGAUGUCUGUUCCAAUGUCCGGUCUAAUCAGAUCUCAGGUGGGCUCUCUGGUCCACCUGAGCUGGUCUGAGAGUCCAGGUGUGUUUUGGGUCCAUGCAGUUUGUUUUUGAAGCCCUGGAUUCUGAACUGAUGACAGCUGGUUCUGGUUCUGGUUGCUGCAGGCAACAAGAUAUUUCUGUUUUAGUUUUAUAACUAAAGCGUUUAGUUUGACCUGAACUGAGGUGACUUUAUGUGACGAGGAGUUUUUAUUAAAGAAACCAGAUGUUUGUUGGGUUCAGAUCAGAUGGAGUGACUGCAGCUGUGACUCUCAGAAUGUUAACAGUGUGAGGGUCUCUGCUGGUCCUGCUCUGGGUCCUGGCUCAGGUGUGUUUACAGGUGUGUUUACAGGUGUGUUUACAGGUGUGUAAGGACCAGCUUCACGCUGAGCCUGGACCAACAACACAUCUGGACUGUUUGUAUCUCCAUGUUUUAAUUGUGCCUAAUUAGUGUGAAUGCUGCUGUAUCAGGUGAAGAAGUGCAAUCUGUGUACUGUACUGUACUGUACUGUACUGUACUGUACUGUACUGUACUGUACUGUACUGUACUGUACUGUUGGAUGUAAUAAAGAUUUAGACUUUUCUUACAUUAUGAA